AACGAUGCCACCAGCGAUCCGCCUGAGUUCCUUAAAUGACUCGGCGGGCAGCUUCCGGGAAACCAAAGUUUUUCGGUUCCGGGGGAAGUAUGGUUGCAAAGCUGAAACUUAAAGGAAUUGACGGAAGGGCACCACCAGGAGUGGAGCCUGCGGCUUAAUUUGACUCAACACGGGAAAACUUACCCGGCCCGGACACUGGCAGGAUUGACAGAUUGAGAGCUCUUUCUUGAUUCAGUGGGUGGUGGUGCAUGGCCGUUCUUAGUUGGUGGAGCGAUUUGUCUGGUUAAUUCCGAUAACGAACGAGACUCUAGCCUACUAAAUAGGCCACCGGCUUACUGACGUCGGUGGGACUUCUUAGAGGGACAGGCGGCGAUUCAGCCGCACGAAACAGAGCAAUAACAGGUCUGUGAUGCCCUUAGAUGUCCGGGGCCGCACGCGCGCUACACUGAAGUGAUCAGCGUGCAUUACAAACCUGCUCCGUCAGGAGUGGGGAACCCAAUGAACCUUCUUCGUGAUUGGGAUAGGGGAUUGUAAUUAUUCCCCUUGAACGAGGAAUUCCCAGUAAGCGCGAGUCAUAAGCUCGCGUUGAUUACGUCCCUGCCCUUUGUACACACCGCCCGUCGCUACUACCGAUUGAAUGAUUUAGUGAGGUCUUCGGACUGGCCGGCGCAGCUGUCUUCGGGCGGCCGCGCUGUGUUUGGAAAGAUGCCCAUACUUGAUCAUUUAGAGGAAGU
RNAcentral lists this ribosomal RNA (734 nucleotides) under uncultured eukaryote. Its description in RNAcentral is "SSU rRNA". It matches the Rfam family "Eukaryotic small subunit ribosomal RNA", at positions 1035 to 1783 of the family's 1831-position model. The record is from RNAcentral.